RNAcentral lists this transfer RNA (90 nucleotides) under Candidatus Kaiserbacteria bacterium RIFCSPHIGHO2_02_FULL_49_34. RNAcentral describes it as "tRNA-Ser". It matches the Rfam family "tRNA". From Rfam's summary of the family: Transfer RNA (tRNA) molecules are approximately 80 nucleotides in length. Their secondary structure includes four short double-helical elements and three loops (D, anti-codon, and T loops). Lineage: Bacteria; Candidatus Kaiseribacteriota. The record is from RNAcentral.
GGAAAAGUGGCUGAGAGGUUGAAGGCACUUGACUCGAAAUCAAGCAUACUCUAACGGGUAUCGGGAGUUCGAAUCUCCCCUUUUCCGCCA